This 3268-nucleotide ribosomal RNA is filed under the name Triticum aestivum (bread wheat). Its description in RNAcentral is "partial small subunit ribosomal RNA". The record is from RNAcentral. Lineage: Eukaryota; Viridiplantae; Streptophyta; Magnoliopsida; Poales; Poaceae.
GCUCAUUCGAUCAGUGCCACCGGCGUGCCACGCUUCGCCGCAAACCCCGCCGCGUCUAUAUGACGCACUGCCUGAUCACUCCCCGUCACACAUCACGCACACACUCCUCGCCACUCCCCACAGCGUCCCAACCGCCCGCCCCUCCGCCAUCCUUCCUCCCCGCCGGGAUCAAAGAUUCAAGAUGUCAAACAGAGCCACACAUUGGUGUUAUGCGUGCCGUCGGCCAAUUCGUCUUCGUGGACAAGAUAUAAUCUGUCCCAACUGCAAUGAUGGCUUCAUACAAGAGAUCAGUGAGAUAGGAGGUGCUUUGAACAACUACGGUAUGUUUGGGCCACGCUUCGAUGAUCGCCUAGAUGGACGAUCUGGAAUGAUGGAUGCUAUGUCUGCCCUCAUGCGUCGACGGAUGGCAGAAAUGGGCAGCAAUCCUGUGUUUGAUCCUAAUGCAGCUUGGGCAAGUACCACACAAGGAAGGCCGUCCCCAAUUGGCCCUAGGCUGAUAUUCGGCGGCAGCAUGCCUGCUCAGGGGAGCAAUGACAGCGGAGUAAAUGUGCUUGUCAGGGGAGGCCGCAGAAUCGGCACUGACCGUCCAAACUUCAGCGGCUUCCUUGUCGGCGGCACCAGCCUCGAAGCUCUAUUCGAGCAGCUGCUAUUGCAGACCGGCAACCGUCAAGGACCAGCGCCUGCUUCGCAGUCCGCAAUCGACUCCAUGCCGGUGGUGAAGAUAACCCGCAGGCAUCUGAGCGAUGAUCCAGUCUGCCCAGUCUGCACGGACAGAUUUGAAGUUGGCUCGGAGGCGAGGGAGAUGCCGUGCAAGCACCUAUACCAUGCCAGUUGCAUCAUCCCUUGGUUGGUUCAGCACAACUCCUGCCCAGUUUGCCGCCACCCGCUGCCGCCGCAGCGAGGAUCAGACAGCAAUGCAGCCCGCCCACAACCUUUGGCCCACGCCGGCGAAGCCGUGAGCCGCGGGGUUGCCGGAGCCGGAGCCGACCCUGCGCCUGUCACGAGGAACGGCGACGACGAUGGAGGGAGCCCUUUCUCGUUCCUCUGGCCAUUCGGGUCGUCGAGCCCCGGUCCCAGCUCUUACCAGUACGGAGGCGGCGGGGGUGGGCGGCCUGCGGUUUACGACGACGACCCUGGCCAGAUAACCUAUUCCGAGUGGCACUACGACCCGUGACACUCCCUCCCAGAGUUCCUGCUCCAAGCUGUAUGCGUGGUGUGGAGUUUAUAUAUAUAUAUAUAUGAUGAAUCUGUGAUGGGUGCCUGUAAGUUCACCUUAUGUUGGCUGGAGCUGUGUGUAAAUGUAAGCUGUCUACUGAGCAGUGAACUAUAUUCUGUAGUGAAGUAUACCGGUUCUAGCUGAAAUUGUAUUAUCACAGGAUGAUGAGGAUCUGUGAAGAGUUUGAUCGUUCCUGCGUUGUCGCACAAAAGAAACGUGCCAGCGAGCGAGGCAGGGAGAUGCCAUUUUGUCCUGCUACCACUACUUGUUUAGUCAGGCCGCCCAGACUUAUCUAUCUCACGUUCACCAAAAUUCCAAACACAUGUCGAGGACGAGGAGGGCCUCUUUGACCGGAGGCAGAGAGGCCGCUGCUCAAACCCGUCGCCCCGCCAGAGCCAUAGUGGCCGGCUAGCUACCGCGUUAUCUCUUUGCCCGCUUCUCCUCCUCGUUUCUCGGCUCCGACUCCGGCCAGCGCCCGCCGGCAGCCAUGGCUUGCUCCGCCCAUCUUCUCUCGCAGAGCCUGUACCAACCCCACCGCUCCUGCCCGGUCCCGUCCAAGCACCUCCGGUUCCAGGCCCAACCCGCGGCGGCGUUUUCCGCCGGCGUCAGCUCCAGCUUCAGCACCAGGAGCCGACGGUCUCCAAGCGUAAGAGUCGCCGCGUCGGCCGACCAAGGGAGGAAGAAAAUCGAGCUUACGUAUGACGCACAAGCCAAGUUUAACCAGCUAGCGGACCAGAUUGACAAGGAUGUGGGGAUUACACGGCUCAACCUGUUCUCACCUUGCAAAAUUAAUGUCUUCUUGAGGAUAACCGGGAAGAGACCAGAUGGGUUCCAUGACCUGGCUUCUCUGUUUCACGUGGUUAGUUUGGGUGAUACUAUCAAAUUCUCACUGUCGCCAAGUAAGAGCAAAGAUCGGCUAUCAACCAAUGUUGCAGGUGUCCCAGUUGAUGAGAGUAACUUGAUCAUCAGGGCACUUGAUCUUUACCGCAAGAAAACUGGCACUGAUAAGCACUUUUGGAUACACCUUGAUAAGAAGGUCCCAACUGGUGCUGGUCUUGGUGGAGGAAGCAGUAAUGCUGCAACUGCACUAUGGGCUGCUAACCAGUUUAGUGGUGGCAUUGCUUCAGAAAAAGAUCUUCAAGAAUGGUCUGGUGAGAUUGGAUCAGAUAUCCCCUUCUUCUUUUCACGAGGAGCAGCAUAUUGUACUGGUAGGGGAGAGAUUGUCCAAGAUAUUCCGAACCUGUUGCCAGAGAAUCUGCCAAUGGUUCUGAUAAAGCCACCUGAAGCAUGCUCAACCGCUGAAGUUUACAAGCGACUCCGGUUAGAUCAGACUAGUCAAGCUGAUCCUUUGGCUUUGCUCAAGGAGAUUACGCAAAAUGGGAUAUCACAAGAUGUCUGUGUAAAUGAUCUAGAGCCUCCAGCUUUUGAGGUGUUGCGAUCACUAAAGAAGUUGAAGAAACGAUUCAUUGCAUCCAAUAGGGGAGAUUACAGUGCUGUUUUUAUGUCAGGGAGUGGAAGCACAAUAGUUGGAAUUGGUUCCCCAGAUCCACCUGCGUUUGUGUAUGACGAUGACGACUACAAGGAUGUUUUUGUGUCAGAGGCUCGCUUUCUCACUCGUGAGGAGAACGAGUGGUACAGGGAACCAAUGUCAUCGAAUGCCACGUUUAGCAAAGAAGAUUCACUGUCAGAGUCAGCACCAGUCAUGGACUGACCGAGUGAGGUUCUGUAUUUGGUCUCAGUUUUGUGGCUGUGGUACACAGGUGUGGAUUUUUGUUCAAUCCAUGUUGACAUGAGAAGAGCAGCUACACCAUCAAGUUUGUUGAUAAGAAAAUUUGACUUUGUAAAGGGAAACGGUAAUUAAAUUAAGCAAAUCCUAGAACUAACUACUCCCUCCGUCCGACAAUGGUCUUAGGGAGUAAGUAUUUCAUAGGUAUCUAUCACCAGCAUGCGCAGUAAGGAAUCACAAUUGUUUCCAGAUCACUUGGCAAGAAGAGUUGGUGCAUUCUGUAUGCGAGAAAAAACAGCAGGUUUGGUUCUACGUGUAUAUGAGGG